GAUGAACGCUGGCGGCGUGCUUAACACAUGCAAGUCGAGCGGAGAUAUAAAAAGGAAGCCCUUCGGGGUGGAAUUUUUACAUCUUAGCGGCGGACGGGUGCGUAACACGUGGGUAACCUGCCCCUAUCACUGGGAUAACACACUGAAAAGUGUGCUAAUACCAGAUAACAUAAGCUUUUGGCAUCAUUAGCUUAUCAAAGAAUUUCGGAUAGGGAUGGGCCCGCGUCUGAUUAGCUAGUUGGUGAGGUAACGGCUCACCAAGGCAACGAUCAGUAGCCGACCUGAGAGGGUGAUCGGCCACACUGGAACUGAGACACGGUCCAGACUCCUACGGGAGGCAGCAGUGGGGAAUAUUGCACAAUGGGCGAAAGCCUGAUGCAGCAACGCCGCGUGAGCGAUGAAGG
This 404-nucleotide ribosomal RNA is filed under the name uncultured bacterium. RNAcentral describes it as "bacterial SSU rRNA". It matches the Rfam family "Bacterial small subunit ribosomal RNA", at positions 28 to 414 of the family's 1533-position model. The record is from RNAcentral.